UUUAGAUGUAAAUUAUAUUAACCUAGGUAGUAUUAGUUAAGGUCUUGAAACUUAAAGAAUUUGGCGGUAUUUUAGUCUAUUUAGAGGAAUCUGUUCCGUAAUCGAUAGUCCACGUUGUACCUUACCAAAUUUGUGUAUGUAUACCGCCGUUAUUAUAAGAAGAUCUUUUUAGAGAUUAAAAAUUUUCUAGAUUUAUUUUUAAAAUUUAUUUCAGGUCAAGGUGCAGCAAUAUUUUGGUGGAAAUGGAUUACUAUUAUAUUAAUUAUUGGAUUAUUCUUUGUAAUUUUGGAAUAUGAAAUUGGAUUUAAUUGUAAUUUUUUGAAGAUUGUAAAUAUGAUUUUAGCUCUAUGAUAUGU
Molecule: ribosomal RNA, 356 nt
Filed under: Cosmozosteria zonata
Lineage: Eukaryota; Metazoa; Arthropoda; Insecta; Blattodea; Blattidae
Description: partial small subunit ribosomal RNA
Source: RNAcentral